GGGGCUGAUUAUGGAUUCGACAAAAUAACCAAAAAUAUAUGGUGCAUGUCGAGGGUUACGGUUGCCUCGUAAAAACCGUUAAAAUUUAAACGCAAAUAAAAAAACAGAAUACGCUUUAGCAGCUUAAAAAACUAUAUAAAGCCCUUUUACAAAAACGUUUCUUUUUCGUUUUUGUGUAUAAAAGGUUAUAAUUAAAAAGAUCGCAUAGUCAAUACUUUCUUAUAAGUAUUUUAUGUUAAAGUUUUUAUAAGAUUUUUUUCUGAUCUAUGUCUAUUUUAUAUCAGAAGAAUAAUAAAUUAAUAUAGACUAAACAUGUAGAACCAUAAUUGUAAGUGUUUUGGACGCGGGUUCAACUCCCGCCAGCUCCAUAA
Molecule: transfer-messenger RNA, 371 nt
Filed under: Enterobacteriaceae (enterobacteria)
Lineage: Bacteria; Pseudomonadati; Pseudomonadota; Gammaproteobacteria; Enterobacterales
Also listed under: 1 other name
Description: Buchnera aphidicola_AB Standard tmRNA
Rfam family: transfer-messenger RNA
About the family: Bacterial tmRNA, also known as 10Sa RNA or SsrA, is named for its dual tRNA and mRNA-like properties.
Source: RNAcentral